RNAcentral lists this ribosomal RNA (253 nucleotides) under uncultured bacterium. RNAcentral describes it as "partial 16S ribosomal RNA". It matches the Rfam family "Bacterial small subunit ribosomal RNA", at positions 524 to 776 of the family's 1533-position model. The record is from RNAcentral.
UACGUAGGGGGCAAGCGUUGUCCGGAAUCAUUGGGCGUAAAGCGCGUGUAGGCGGUUCGGUAAGUCUGCUGUGAAAGUCCAGGGCUCAACCCUGGAAUGCCGGUGGAUACUGUCGGGCUCGAAUCCGGAAGAGGUGAGUGGAAUUCCUGGUGUAGCGGUGAAAUGUGUAGAGAUCGGGAGGAACACCGGUGGCGAAGGCGGGUCUCUGGGCAAUUCCUGACGCUGAGGCGCGAAAGCGUGGGGAGCAAACGGG